AUGAAGCGACGAAACUGGGCUGGCAAUCCCCGUUGCUCUUUUUGUGACUGUAGAGAAACCUAUUUGCACCUGUUCUUCCUCUGUCCUGUGGCAAGGAUAGCCUGGCGCACGGUAGGAGCGCUGCUUGGGACUGAUUUAUGUCCCAACAAUCUAUGCCAGUUUUAUUCUUGGUGCUAUGCCUUUCUUCCUCAAGGGGAGCGAUACUUUACAAUGGGGCUAGCAGCCGUAUGCUGGGCUAUUUGGAAUCGUAAAAACCAGGCUACUUUUGAAUUCAAGAAACUGUCAUCUUCUUUUGAGAUUGUCUUCACUGCUUGUAUGCAUUUAUCUUACUGGGCAGGACUCUUGAAGGGCGAAAGGCGAACGGAGCUGGAGCGUCGUGCAAUGAUUCUGCAGGAGAAUCCUAAAGAAAUGAUGAGGCUCUGCGCGACUGCAUACGUUGGCGACACUGUGGAGUGA
Molecule: ribosomal RNA, 456 nt
Filed under: Triticum aestivum (bread wheat)
Lineage: Eukaryota; Viridiplantae; Streptophyta; Magnoliopsida; Poales; Poaceae
Description: partial small subunit ribosomal RNA
Source: RNAcentral